RNAcentral lists this ribosomal RNA (375 nucleotides) under uncultured bacterium. RNAcentral's name for it is "bacterial SSU rRNA". It matches the Rfam family "Bacterial small subunit ribosomal RNA", at positions 28 to 399 of the family's 1533-position model. The record is from RNAcentral.
GACAAACGCUGGCGGCGUGCUUAACACAUGCAAGUCGAACGGUACUCCUACGGGAGUAUAGUGGCGGACGGGUGAGUAACACGUAGCUAAUCUACCCUGAUGUGGGGAAUAACCCCUCGAAAGAGGAGCUAAGACCGCAUAAGUUCUCUCUUGUUAGAGAGAGAAGAAACUUUAGGCAGUGAAAAGACCAGAGGCGUUAGGAUGAGGCUGCGGCGGAUUAGCUAGAUGGUGGGGAAAGACCUACCAUGGCGACGAUCCGUAGCUGGUCUGAGAGGACGACCAGCCACACUGGGACUGAGACACGGCCCAGACUCCUACGGGAGGCAGCAGUGAGGAAUAUUCCACAAUGGGCGCAAGCCUGAUGGAGCGACGCCG